RNAcentral lists this ribosomal RNA (112 nucleotides) under Mycetomoellerius zeteki. The record is from RNAcentral. Lineage: Eukaryota; Metazoa; Arthropoda; Insecta; Hymenoptera; Formicidae.
AACAAUUUCCAAAACAAACACCAGUUCUCGUCCGAUCACUGAAGUUAAGCAGCAUUGGGCACGGUUAGUACUUGGAUGGGUGACCGCUUGGGAACACCGUGUGAUGUUGUCU